AGGAGUCAGUACUUAGAAGUGACUGACUGAGUGCCAGCCGCCGCGGGUGGGGCAGAUGAUUGGGGUGAAGUCGUAGCAAGGUAACCUCAGUCAGUCAAGUCUGUAACAAGGUAACCUCAGUCAGUCAAGUCAUAAUCAAGGUAACCUCAGUCAGUCAAGUCGUAACAAGGUAACACUCAGUCUAGUCAAGUCGUAACAAGGUAACCUCAGUCAGUCAAGUCGUAACAAGGUAACCUCAGUCAGUCA
This 246-nucleotide ribosomal RNA is filed under the name uncultured organism. RNAcentral's name for it is "partial 16S ribosomal RNA". The record is from RNAcentral.